This 485-nucleotide ribosomal RNA is filed under the name uncultured bacterium. Its description in RNAcentral is "partial 16S ribosomal RNA". It matches the Rfam family "Bacterial small subunit ribosomal RNA", at positions 30 to 506 of the family's 1533-position model. The record is from RNAcentral.
AUUGAACGCUGGCGACAUGCCUUACACAUGCAAGUCGAACGGCAGCACGGGUGCUUGCACCUGGUGGCGAGUGGCGAACGGGUGAGUAAUACAUCGGAACAUGUCCUGUAGUGGGGGAUAGCCCGGCGAAAGCCGGAUUAAUACCGCAUACGAUCUACGGAUGAAAGCGGGGGACCUUCGGGCCUCGCGCUAUAGGGUUGGCCGAUGGCUGAUUAGCUAGUUGGUGGGGUAAAGGCCUACCAAGGAGACGCUCAGUAGCUGGUCUGAGAGGACGACCAGCAACACUGGGACUGAGACACGGCCCAGACUCCUACGGGAGGCAGCAGUGGGGAAUUUUGGACAAUGGGCGAAAGCCUGAUCCAGCAAUGCCGCGUGUGUGAAGAAGGCCUUCGGGUUGUAAAGCACUUUUGUCCGGAAAGAAAUCCUUGGCCCUAAUACGGUCGGGGGAUGACGGUACCGGAAGAAUAAGCACCGGCUAACUACGU